This 305-nucleotide ribosomal RNA is filed under the name Wolbachia sp. wRi. RNAcentral describes it as "bacterial SSU rRNA". It matches the Rfam family "Bacterial small subunit ribosomal RNA", at positions 477 to 781 of the family's 1533-position model. Lineage: Bacteria; Pseudomonadati; Pseudomonadota; Alphaproteobacteria; Rickettsiales; Anaplasmataceae. The record is from RNAcentral.
ACCCCCAGAAGAAGUCCUGGCUAACUCCGUGCCAGCAGCCGCGGUAAUACGGAGAGGGCUAGCGUUAUUCGGAAUUAUUGGGCGUAAAGGGCGCGUAGGCGGAUUAGUAAGUUAAAAGUGAAAUCCCAAGGCUCAACCUUGGAAUUGCUUUUAAAACUGCUAAUCUAGAGAUUGAAAGAGGAUAGAGGAAUUCCUAGUGUAGAGGUGAAAUUCGUAAAUAUUAGGAGGAACACCAGUGGCGAAGGCGUCUAUCUGGUUCAAAUCUGACGCUGAGGCGCGAAGGCGUGGGGAGCAAACAGGAUUAG